CCCUCUCUCUUUCCUUCCUCCCUCUCCGCCCUCCUUUCUUCUCCCCUUUCCUCCUCUUCCUCUUCCUUUGUACAAUAACAGCUUCCUUCUCCUUUCUCUGAGCCCAUCAGGGUUUUUAAUCUCCAACCCCCAGGGACACUGUAUCCUUCAUUUCGUAGCUGAACUUCUCCAUGUUCCGACCUCAGCUCCCUCCCUCAAGGCCUUUCCCUUCUCCUUCCCUUUUGCGCUAAAGACACGAGCUUUAGAAAUCAACCAAGAUGCAAAAGAGGUCAGAUCAGCUCUUUCCCCAUUGCCUCCUUCCCAAAUCCCCAACCCUUGGCAGUCAUUUUGAGAGAGACCACCAAGAAUCUUCCCAAAUCUGCCCUCCCCAAACCGGAUUUAUUUUCGUGGCUUUUUUUAGACAAGGAGCAUGGAAACGUAAACUUCUCAAGUUGUUGUUUGUUUGUUUUAAACAGCCUCUGCUAAAUCCGCUGCUUUGUCCAGAAAAGUGAUUUUUUUUUUUUUCAAAUCUUGAAGCGGUGUGGACUUCAACUCCCAGAGUCCUUCUCUCCCAAAGCAGGCUUUUUCAGCAUGAAUUCUGGGAGUUGAAGUCUGCGUAUCUUAGAGCAGGCCAGCUGGGGGAUUAUGGGAGUUGAAGUCCACACAUCUUAAAGUGGCUGAGGUUGAGAAUUCCAGGCAUAUUUGAUUGUGGUUCGAAGUUGGGAAAAGAGGCGGCUUUCCCUUCUUCCCGUUUUCCUUCUGCUGUCCCUGCCAUCCUCCUCCCUCAGUUCAUCCUUACUCUAUUCCUUCCUUCGUUUUGGCUAAUUCUAUCUUUCUUUCUAAGCUCUCUUUCACCCCUUCCAUCCUGUUUCGCAUCCGGCAGUCCAGUUUCUGCAAAAACAGAGCAGAAACUUUUGACAUUUUUUUUUCUUCUCUCCCUUUUCCAAGCCUGAUAGCGAAAAAUGACAAAACACCUUUUUCCAUUGUUGGAAAAAUCGAUUAGUAGGGGAGUUCCACAUAUGUUUUUUUUUUAAAGAGGUAGAAAAAAUGCAGGAGUCAUCAUCAGUAAGUCUAAAAUCUUCCCAAUGACCACAGUUUGGUCACAACUCACAUAUGGCUGAGAGUUAGAGCAAUUUUAAAAAAAAUUGCAAUCUGCUGCUUUUAGCUAAAGCGUCCAACCAACUUCUUGGUUGGCAGCUCCAAAGACCACAUUUUGGGGAGGGGAAAAAAAAAACCAGAAUGCAAAAACUUCAGUAGCAAGGCAGGCUUGGACUCAUUGCUGUCGAAAAGAGGCAAUUUUGAAUUUUGAAUUCUGGUAGCUGUCAAAAUAGACUUUUUAGUGUUCGUUUUUUCCAUGAGAGCUUUGCAAUAACGUUGGCUUUGUCGGCAUGCAUUUGAGAUCCCUUCCCUACCAUUCCCAGAGGUUUAAAAUCGAGGGGCUUUUCAAUAAAAUGGAGAGUGCUGGGAUUGAAAUUUGGGGUGGGACAGAGCUCUCCUUGUAGUCAUUUUAGUCAUUUGGAGUUUAGUAAUUCUUCGAUAUUUGUCUUUGGAACUCUGCCAAAAUUUUCAUCCAUUUUUAACCGUUUUACUCCCUAUAACUCUCCCCACUUUUUUUUUUUUUUCGCUUCCUUCUAUGCCUCAGCUUGAAAAAUAUUGCAAGCUGCAGAAUUUCUCACACAAAGCACCUCGAAAACAUUUUGAUUUGACCCAGUCAGUUCCGUGUAAAAAAAAUUAACAAAUUUGCAAUCUUGGCGUAAUUGUGCUUUGCUUUUCCUUUAAUUUUUUCCUUCCUCUGUGCAAAGAUUAACAAAUUUGCAAUCCUGUUCUUUAGUGGCGUAAUUGCUUUGCGCCCUGGGUGAGUUUUUAUUUUUCUAUUUGUUUUCUUUGUCUGGCCGAAUUUUUGGCAUUUUGUCUUUCAAGUUGUGAGGCAGCUAGACUGAUUGUUAGAUGCAAAAGAGCACCGUAAACCUGUUGGGAAUUUAAAUCAGAACUGUUUUUUUCCACUCCAGCAAAAUUAAAAACAAAACAAAACACUAGAAUUUAUUUAUACAUAUUUGAUGUUGUAGCUGAAAAGAAUUAAAUACUUCACUGAUCUAUUUAUAUAAUGUCUGGAUUUAUUCUGCACAGGUCAGGUCAAGAAAGAGUCCAUAGAUUUUUCUAUUUUAUCAAAACUCGCCUUUUAAGCGUAGCCUUUUUAAGUUUUGGCUAAAUCUUCUCGCUUUAUUUUUGUCUGCUGGAACCAAAACUCGGCGGCACACAAUAACGUGAUGCUCUUGAAAGAAAACCAAACCCAUCUCUGUUUCCUUCACUACAAAUUCAACAAUUGUUUGUGUUUCGGGUAAGGAACACGUGUGAGCCUUGAGAUGCAAGCAAAAGGUUUUCAGACCUCAUAUCUUGAGUGCAGCCAACUGAAGUGUCAGUGAGAAGAAAAGGGGGGCAAUUCUGCACAAGCAAUUUUCUCCUGCGUGAACUGUGUAAACGCCGAAGGUUGGAUAUUGGCAAAGAGUGUGGGUUUUUUUUUUCUCCCACCGAAAAGAAAUCGGAUUGCUUUCCAAGAUUGCGCCUGUCAAAUUCAUAUCUGCACACGAUAUUUGGGAGAAAAGAAAAGAAAAAUCAGAACAUCAGUCUGUUUAUAAACCAGAAACAAGCUAAUAAGCGCUUCUUUUUGAUCAUUAUUUUUCCCCCAAAGUGGUUUUAAAGCACCUUUUUCAGCUGCAGUUGUGUUUUUGUUCAGCUACAGAUGCCUGUAAAUAGAAUUUUAAUCCUGCAUUUCACCACUUCCUCUCUUGCAUUUUGAGGCUGGCCUAUUUUUUUCCCCCUUGUAAAAACUCCUAAAAUUGUUCUUUAAAGUGAAGGUGUAAAAGAG
Notechis scutatus (mainland tiger snake) is the source of this 2845-nucleotide non-coding RNA. The record is from RefSeq and is a predicted model, not a curated record. NCBI's taxonomy places the organism in Eukaryota, Metazoa, Chordata, Lepidosauria, Squamata, Elapidae.